CAGUAGCCGCGGGAAAACGUAGGUGGCAAGCGUUGUCCGGAAUUAUUGGGCGUAAAGCGCGCGCAGGUGGUUUAAUAAGUCUGAUGUGAAAGCCCACGGCUCAACCGUGGAGGGUCAUUGGAAACUGUUAAACUUGAGUGCAGGAGAGAAAAGUGGAAUUCCUAGUGUAGCGGUGAAAUGCGUAGAGAUUAGGAGGAGCACCAGUGGCGAAGGCGGCUUUUUGGCCUGCAACUGACACUGAGGCGCGAAAGCGUGGGGAGCAAACAGGAUUAGAUACCCCCGUAGUCCCUGUCUCUUAUAC
This 301-nucleotide ribosomal RNA is filed under the name uncultured bacterium. RNAcentral describes it as "partial 16S ribosomal RNA". It matches the Rfam family "Bacterial small subunit ribosomal RNA", at positions 509 to 807 of the family's 1533-position model. The record is from RNAcentral.